GACGAACGCUGGCGGCGUGCUUAACACAUGCAAGUCGUACGGUAAGGCCCUUUCGGGGGUACACGAGUGGCGAACGGGUGAGUAACACGUGAGUAACCUGCCCACAACUUUGGGAUAACGCUAGGAAACUGGUGCUAAUACUGGAUAUGUGCUCCUGCUGCAUGGUGGGGGUUGGAAAGCUCCGGCGGUUGUGGAUGGACUCGCGGCCUAUCAGCUUGUUGGUGGGGUAGUGGCCUACCAAGGCGGCGACGGGUAGCCGGCCUGAGAGGGUGACCGGCCACAUUGGGACUGAGAUACGGCCCAGACUCCUACGGGAGGCAGCAGUGGGGAAUAUUGCACAAUGGGCGCAAGCCUGAUGCAGCAACGCCGCGUGCGGGAUGACGGCCUUCGGGUUGUAAACCGCUUUCACCAGGGACGAAGCUUUUUGUGACGGUACCUGCAGAAGAAGCACCGGCUAACUACGUG
Molecule: ribosomal RNA, 465 nt
Filed under: uncultured bacterium
Lineage: Bacteria
Description: partial 16S ribosomal RNA
Rfam family: Bacterial small subunit ribosomal RNA
Source: RNAcentral